Molecule: ribosomal RNA, 465 nt
Filed under: uncultured bacterium
Lineage: Bacteria
Description: partial 16S ribosomal RNA
Rfam family: Bacterial small subunit ribosomal RNA
Source: RNAcentral
GACGAACGCUGGCGGCGUGCUUAACACAUGCAAGUCGAACGGAAAGGCCCCUUUGGGGGUACUCGAGUGGCGAACGGGUGAGUAACACGUGAGUAACCUGCCCUUGACUUCGGGAUAACUUCAGGAAACUGGGGCUAAUACCGGAUAGGAAUCCUUGCUGCAUGGUGGGGGUUGGAAAGCUUCGGCGGUUUUGGAUGGACUCGCGGCUUAUCAGCUUGUUGGUGGGGUAGUGGCUUACCAAGGCUUUGACGGGUAGCCGGCCUGAGAGGGCGACCGGCCACAUUGGGACUGAGAUACGGCCCAGGCUCCUACGGGAGGCAGCAGUGGGGAAUAUUGCACGAUGGGCGGAAGCCUGAUGCAGCAACGCCGCGUGCGGGAUGACGGCCUUCGGGUUGUAAACCGCUUUCAGCAGGGGCGAAGCUUGUGGUGACGGUACCUGCAGAAGAAGCACCGGCUAACUACGUG